Molecule: ribosomal RNA, 699 nt
Filed under: uncultured bacterium
Lineage: Bacteria
Description: bacterial SSU rRNA
Rfam family: Bacterial small subunit ribosomal RNA
Source: RNAcentral
CAUGCAAGUCGACGGCAGCACGGGGGCAACCCUGGUGGCGAGUGGCGAACGGGUGAGUAAUACAUCGGAACGUGCCCAGUCGUGGGGGAUAACUACGCGAAAGCGUAGCUAAUACCGCAUACGAACUCUGGUUGAAAGCGGGGGACCGUAAGGCCUCGCGCGAUUGGAGCGGCCGAUGGCAGAUUAGGUAGUUGGUGGGGUAAAGGCUCACCAAGCCGACGAUCUGUAGCUGGUCUGAGAGGACGACCAGCCACACUGGGACUGAGACACGGCCCAGACUCCUACGGGAGGCAGCAGUGGGGAAUUUUGGACAAUGGGCGCAAGCCUGAUCCAGCCAUUCCGCGUGCAGGAUGAAGGCCCUCGGGUUGUAAACUGCUUUUGUACGGAACGAAACGCGCUGAGCUAAUACCUCGGCGUAAUGACGGUACCGUAAGAAUAAGCACCGGCUAACUACGUGCCAGCAGCCGCGGUAAUACGUAGGGUGCAAGCGUUAAUCGGAAUUACUGGGCGUAAAGCGUGCGCAGGCGGUGAUGUAAGACAGAUGUGAAAUCCCCGGGCUCAACCUGGGAACUGCAGUGGAUACUGGGCGACUAGAGUGUGGUAGAGGAUAGUGGAAUUUCCGGUGUAGCAGUGAAAUGCGUAGAGAUCGGAAGGAACAUCUGUGGCGAAGGCGACUAUCUGGGCCAACACUGACACUGA